GGGGAUUUAGCUAAGUGGUAGAGCACUUGCCUAGCAAGCACAAGGCCCUGGGUUCGGUCCCCAGCUCCU
This 69-nucleotide transfer RNA is filed under the name Rattus norvegicus (Norway rat). It matches the Rfam family "tRNA". Rfam says of the family: Transfer RNA (tRNA) molecules are approximately 80 nucleotides in length. Their secondary structure includes four short double-helical elements and three loops (D, anti-codon, and T loops). Lineage: Eukaryota; Metazoa; Chordata; Mammalia; Rodentia; Muridae. The record is from Rfam by way of RNAcentral.